Molecule: long non-coding RNA, 790 nt
Filed under: Bos indicus x Bos taurus (hybrid cattle)
Lineage: Eukaryota; Metazoa; Chordata; Mammalia; Artiodactyla; Bovidae
Description: lncRNA (ENSBIXG00005016317.1)
Source: RNAcentral
CAUGUAUAUAUAUAUAAUAUGUAAUACAUUCAGAUACCUGGGGAUAAUAUCUACCUGGGAAUGGGUGGAUAAGGCAGUUUAUUCACCAUUGUUAACAUUAAUAACUUGGUAUGAAAUAGUUUAUGCGUCCCUAUCUCAAGGACAGCCAGCUGAAAGGUUUCAGUAAAGAUAAGGAGAGAAAGAUGAAGGAAGAUACAGGUCCUUCCGAAGGAGAGAAGACCGUGUUUGGGGAGUGUGCGUGUUUACAGUGUAUCAGCAGAGAACAAGCUUGGAACCUGGAACAGGAAUCCCAAAUUGGGUCCAAGCUCUGUCCACCACUGGAGAUCAGACUCCCUGGACAAUAUACAGUGAACCUGCUGGGAAGGUCUGCCAGAAGCUGGCCAGCACAAUGACGGUUGCGCCUCCAAGGCAGGUUCUUUACCACUAGGACCACCUGGAAAGCCCUAUUUCAAAGACAUUAACCACCCAAGGAAAUAAGCAGUGGAGCCUCUUGGUGCAGGGAAUGUCAUGUCUGCUGGUCGUCAUCUUCUUAAAAGGAUCUCGCCUUGUGUUGAAGACACAGCAGGGGCUCAGCUCGCUGGCCAAGAAGAACUGAUUCCCAAGACCUGUACUGCUGGUUACGCAGGCUGCUGCUGAGAGAUCAUUUGAGGCAGCCCUGUGCACACCAUUUCUGCCCACAGGUGUGACCCUGGCUGCUGUGAGGGUUGAGAGUGGGUGCCUUCUGUUCCAUUCUACACUGGUUAUUUCAGAUUGUCAGAAGAACUGUACCAAUAUUCCCAAGUAAACCUGG